This 802-nucleotide long non-coding RNA is filed under the name Ricinus communis (castor bean). Its description in RNAcentral is "long non-coding RNA (RCOM_LNC003279)". Lineage: Eukaryota; Viridiplantae; Streptophyta; Magnoliopsida; Malpighiales; Euphorbiaceae. The record is from RNAcentral.
GGAACAUAUUUUUGAAUGACCAGAAUAAGAAAAGAAAUAUAUAUCAUAGAAUUUGAUUAUGCCUUUCAUAUUAUUACAGAGAAAUGAUAUAACAAGCACUGCUUAAUACAGAAGAAAUUCACUCUAAAUCUUAAACUUUAUCCUUAUUGUAAUACAAAAAAAAUAUGGAAUCAAUUCGAAAACAAUACAUGGAUGAAAUUUAUUGGUAUAAUUUAAACGGAUUCAAUUUAGUAGUGUUUUGGAGGUGGUGGGGAAGAAUAAUAGUAAGGAGGUGGCGGUGAUGGAGAAGGUGGAGGUGGAGAGUUAUAAUAAUAUGGAGGAGGUGGAGACUUCUUUGGUGGAGGAGGUGAUGUGUAAUGGUAUGGAGGUGGUGGUGAAAGAGAAGUGGGAGGUGGAGAGUUAUAGUAGUAUGGGGGAGGUGGAGACUUUUUUGGAGGAGGUGGUGACGAGUAGUGGUAUGGAGGAGGUGGUGACUUUUUUGGUGGAGGUGGAGAGCUGUAGUAGUAGGGAGGAGGUGGAGAUUUCUUUGGUGGAGGUGGUGAUGAAUAGUAGUAUGGAGGAGGCGGAGACUUAUUUGGUGGAGGUGGAGAGCUAUAGUAAUAGGGAGGAGGUGGAGACUUCUUUGGUGGAGGUGGUGAUGUGUAAUGGUAUGGCGGAGGUGGAGACUUCUUUGGUGGAGGUGGAGAGCUGUAGUAGUAGGGAGGAGGUGGAGACUUCUUUGGUGGAGGUGGUGAUGAGUAGUAGUAUGGAGGAGGUGGAGACUUCUUUGGUGGAGGUGGAGAGCUAUAGUAGUAGGGAGGUG